AUCAUCUUUUUCCCUCAGUUAAGAGUUUGGAUAUUUUCCUGAGUACCGGGAAGCCGUCGGGAGGGAUUGAUGUAACUAUUAGAUGUAUUUUUUGUUUGUUUGUUUGUUUGUUUUGUUGAAUCACCCUGGCUGCUCUGUGGAGAAAGGAUGCUGGGGCAGCAGGAACGGAUGCGGGCAGGCCGGGGAGGCUGGCCAGUCAUCCAGGAGAGAGAGAGUGGCUUGGACCAGGCUAGUAACCAUGGAUGUGGUGAGAAGUGGGUGGAUCCAAGGGGGGGAGGUGGAGGAGAGUCUCCAGGACCAGCAGGCAGACUGGAUGGGAAGGCAAGAGGAAGUGUCACUUGUGGCCUUCUGCUCUGUGGGCAUGUGUUUUCUGAGCUCCUAUGAUGCGCUCGGCACGUGCCGGAGAGACAACAAAGGGGCUGGGAGAUCAGACCAGUGGGACUCUGACCACAUCAUCUCUAGGCUGGACCAAACAACUGAAGGCAUGAAAGGAUUUCGAGACAUCAUUUGGUCCACCUUCGUGCCUCCAGACCAGAUACAGGUUCUCCCGUCUUCAAAGGACGGUGCACGGAGGGAUUGGAGACCUCCCUGCAGGUGUCCGUGGAGCUGGAGGGGUGGGGGUCAGUACCCUGCAUCCUGGUUAGAGGCUUUAACCUUUCCAGAGCCUGGUCAGAGCUGUAGUCUGUUUGAUGGUCUUAAUAUCCCCAAAGUGUUGGCAGGGAUGUUUUCUCCCCCGUCACGCACUCGAGGAAACUGAGUCUUGGAGAAGCGUCAUUGUCUCAGCCACAAAGAGCUGUGCAGGUAAGGCUGCACUUUUCUCCUCAUGCCUAUGUUUGUGCAGAUGCGGGAGCCCGAGGUGCGCGCCUGGGGCGUGCAGAUGUGAGAACCAGAGGUGCUUCUAGAUGCUUAGUGCUGGCCUCCACCCUUGCAGCCCAGUCCAGGAAUGUGUCUGGCUGCAGACAAUUGGCGUCACAGCUGCAGACCAGAGGCUUCCAGGGCUGGGAGUAACCGAGAAGUCCUCCCACCCAUCCUCUUGCCUUCAGGGGGGACGAUCCCCCUCCUCCAAAGACCAACCUCGCCAAGAGGAAUGAUAUCUUUUCCUCAAAGAGUGCCUCUUCUCUCCCUCAGGCUUUCAUUCCUGUGGGGAGCAGCUUCCAGCCAAAGACCUCUUCCCAAGGACUGCAGACAUCUUUACUUCUGCUUGCCCAGCGUGUACACCCUUUGGGAGCCUCUUCUCCCCAACUUCCAGGUCACUGCUUUGGGCAGGCUCACCGCAGAGUGGACCUGCGGCAUAGGCCUGGCCAGUGAGAGGGUCACAGUGCCCUCAUCUCAGGGCUGUUUAGGGACGGGCACGAGACAGAAACAAGGCCAAUCAGAUUUGACUCUGGGAGUUUUGCUGUAGCCGGUAGCCGUGGGGGGUAAAGUGCUCUCUUUCAGUUGAGAUUGCUGUUGGGGUAGAAGCCCAAAGCUGCCAAGGUUUAGGAGAGUCUGCUGGGGAUGAAUGCAAGCCAAGGGCAUCCAGUGGUGAACUGGAGAGAGCUGGAGGGAGCUGGAGGGAGCGGAGCGACGGCCCCUGACCACCGCAGCUGAGUACCUGGAUCCAGCCAUGUCUAGAGCUAGAGACCCAAGGACAUUUUUGUUAUGCGAGCUGAUGAAUCCCUCUUCCCACUUCAUAAGCCAGUCAGAGUUGGGUUUCUGUCAUUUGCAGUGAAAGUGCACCAAGCCCACCUCAGCCCACCCCUCUCCUGCAGAAACUUUGCCCUUUGGCCGGCCCACAGGGGCCUGCGGGGGCCCGGGUAUGCCCUUAGCAGGAGACUCUUUCGUCCCCAGAGUCUGCUGGCCAAUCAUUGCUCAGCAUCUGUGUCUCCACUUGAACCCACCCCGUUCCUCUCGCUGUCUUCUCCUUGGCUUUAUGGUAUUCAGAGUUCUUUCCAUCGCAAGUUAGAGAAGGCUGCAUCUCUUAGUGGAAAAGGGGACUUGAGGGUCUGGGAAGGCGCCUGGCUGUGGGAAGCCUGGGGGGCUAGAACCAGGGUGCAGCGCCACAGGGGUCUCUGUCCAUCACUCCUCUCUGCUCUUGUCUGCUUCCCUUUGAGGUUGGUCUCCUUCUGUCCCUCUAGGGGGUAAGGAGCUCGGUCAGAAGCUUCUUGUCAGCCCCAAGGAAGGACUUGGACUGGGUUCGUUUGGGUCAUGUGCCCACUCUUGGACCAGGGAAAUGGGGUAUGCUCAUUGACCAGGUCUGGGUCACGUGAGUAGGGUGUUGAGGCGUAGUGAUUGGUGGAGUCCUAUUGGGAAGGAGGGGCGUGUCCCAAAGAGAUGGGGUGGCUGAUACUGGACAAAGGAUGGGAUGUGGGGGCUGCUGGACCACCUCAGCUGCCACCGCCAUCACCAGCAUCGCCAACUACCAGCAUUUACCGAACUCCUAGUGUGGGCCAGAUUCUAGGAGGAGUCCAUUCAUUCAUUCACUCAUUGGUUUAUUCAUCGUGUACCAACUCAUACCAGGCCCUGAGCUCGAGAUACAAUGAGACAAGUGCCUCUUGUCACCCUCAUAGAUGGGGACUCAACUCCUAGUUCAGCCUAGAGGGGAAGAACAUUAAAUAAGCCAUUACCUUUCCCUGGGAUAAGAGCAUCGAUAGGGGAGUAUACUCAGAGCAGGGCCAGCUAGUGUAGUUCCAGCAUGACAGUCAGGGAGGGCUUCCAGGAGGAAGUGACAGCUGAGGAGAGAAAGGAAGAAUAGGAGAGGAAGGGGAAGAAGAAUAAGAGGUUCCAGGAGAGGUGGUCCUGGUAGGAGUAGAGUGACUGCCCCGCGGACAUUGUGUGAUGUGGGGAGACAGGAUAUGAGCCCAUUUAUUCAUCUCUUCCUUCCUUCAUUCGGCUGGUGUCAACUGAGCUCCAGAGAUGCCUCCGUAAUAGGCUGAGCCAUGGGUUUUGGAAGUGAGACGGCCAUGGCCCUUUCCCCCAGGAACUCCUAUUCUACUUGGUGGGUGGGGGGGCAGAUGCAGGGGUGGGAGGUGGCAGGACAGGGGAGCAGCUUGAUUCCCCUGGAGGACAGUGAGGGCUCCGGGAGGAGGUGCCGUCCUCGUUGAGUCUUGGUGGGAUGAACUCAUGAGGGGAGUGAAACCACAGGUCCUCUGUUCUUAGAGCUGGUCCCUGUAUAUACUGUCUCCAUAACAACCAGUCUGUGUGUGUCCCAAACAGCAUCCUCUUGACGGCCGUUCGCCCCUGGAGAAGCUCCCCAAUGUUCUCGGGUCAGUUGGUCUUGUCCUCUCUGCUGUGCUCAUGCAGAGGUGUAGGAGGAAGCCAGUCAUGAACCUACUAGAAAGGCCAGUAAGUAGACCAAUGCGGAAAGGGAAGGUAGGAGAGGGGCCUUGGUCUGGAUCUGAGUUAGGGGAUGGGAUUCAGCUCCUAGUCUAGCAGCACACUCACCGUGGGACCUGGGGCAAGCCCUCAUCCUCUCCAGGCCUCGGUCGGGUCCACUUCCAUAGGAGGAGCACAUGGGCCCCAUAAGGUGCCGCUCCAGUCCUGACACGGUGGGGUUUCUGGGCCUCCAGCCCCCGUGGCAGGCAGCCCCUGUCUUCGUGGACCGGAGGGGAUGGUGGAGGUAAGGCUGCGUUGGGGCUCCUGGCUCUCGGCCACACCGCCUGCAGCCUUCAGGACCUGAGUCAUCUUCCGGGCAGCGAGUGACCUCUCCAUACCCCUGUCUCCCCCCAGCCCCGUGACCCUGGGCGGUGUGCAGGGCCAGGCCGUCCCAGGCGGGCGGCACGGUGGAAAUCACAAUAUUGACCCAGCACGCAGGAAGUGGGGAGGACAGGCCGCCAGGGUUCCGGGGCUGGAGGGGAGACAGCUUGCUGAGUGAUGAGCUCGGAGCAAUGCUCUCCCUCCCUCCUGGGUCACCGCUGCUGCCCGCCUGCCAGGGCUGUUCCUCCCAGCUCCAGGGCCCCCUCCCCGGACCUCCCUCCUACACAUUCCCCUGGCCCAGGCUCGGGAGGGGAGCUGCUGGGGAGCCCUCUCGGGGCCUGCCUCCCUCCAUACAAGGCACGGGCUCCCCUGGGCUUCCCCGUUUCCCUGGGGCCAGACUGCAGCCACAUGCUUACAGGCUGCUGGCCUUUGGAAUAGUCUCACCUCCCAUCUAAUGCCUGGGGAAAUGGAGGCUCACAAAGUUACUUGGCCAGCAGCGUCAGAAUCAGGAUUCACACUCAGGACUGUGGAGUCCAGGCCACACUCCGCCCAGCCACCCACGAGUCAGUUAGCUUUGGUCAUGACAGUGGGAAUAAUCAACUACUUUAGUGAAGCGCCACAUCUUACUCAGCCCCUGCCACCACGCCAGGAGGGGUUCAGUUACUAAGCUGACUUUUCAGAUGAGCAAGUACGGUUCAGAGGAGGCUGAAGGACUUUCCCAAAGACACAGCUAGCCAUCAGCAGAUGGGCGUUUGGACUGAGAUGUGCCUAAUCCCCAAGCUCAUGCUUUGUCUGUCCUGACAAAACCACGGGGCAGGAAGAGCCUGUCCUUGAAAUUCUGCUUAAAUGUUCCCAACACCCCCACCAAGCCUUAGGACCACCUUCUGGAUCCUUGUGCCCAUGAGUAUUUGCAUCUGCAAAGGGGUUCCUGGGGGGGUGGGGUGGGGAACAUAGCGCGGCCCAAAACCUUACCCUCCAAUGAUGCAAUUCUCCGUCAGUGUUCCUUGGGGGGCUUGGCCAUGGACUUGGAGGUGACCAUCCAGCCUGCUGAUGGGUCAAGCUGGACCAGGAAGCACCGCUGAGUGGUCAGCAACCUCUGGGGAGGCAGAGGGGGAGCAGAGAUACUCCUGGGCUUGGAGAUGGGUCCACAGGGGCCUCCUCCCUGCUCUGCAGAGGCUUGAUUCCCUCAUUCACAGGAAUGAUUGAGGGCAUUUGAAGGUCUGCUUUCCGAUAUCAGAGAGGAGUAGGAGUUUUGGCUCCUGUGACCCCAGCACCCUUCCCAUGAGCUGGGUGUGGAUGGGGACACGGCUUACAUGGGCUUUCCUUGCGCUCUGCUUGGACUGUAUGCCCUGGGCUCGCUCGAUGUGAAGUCACCAAUCAAAACCUGCCUGUGUGCUUAUUCUAGGCUGCCCCUGGGGAUGUUAUCUAAAUCACAGGAAAAAUUCACUCAGAAUUCAUUGUAGGCAAUUUGCAUGAAGUCUGAGAAACUGGUUUAAUUUUGUAGUAAUGGACACCGGGUGUGUGUGUGUGUGUCUGUGUGUGUGUGUGUGUGCACACGCACGUGCAUGCACAUGCAUGAACUAAAUCUGACACAGAACAGUGCAGGACUUCCUGACCCGGCUUACGUGCCCUGUCCCUUUCCUACUCGCUCCAAAUUAUAAUGACUACCAUUUAUUGAACAUCUACUGUGUAGCAGGUUAGAUACCACCUGGGCCAAUUUUUUCACCUUUGUACCAAGGUGGAACCCGACUUUCAGAACACGGAAAAUAUGCACCACGGAUUGCAUUGAUUAGUGAUGUCUGCUCUAGGCACGGGAAGGGAGGGGCUGGUGCACGUACCUCAUAUUUGCCUUCCCUCAUUAAUUCGGUGCAUAAAAUUGUAUGUGUCCAUAUUUUCUACCUAACCACGUGUAAUUUCAUAAUCUGCCCUUAAACCUUUGUGGAACAAGACUUUGUAUAAAUAAAUAGUCAUAAUUCAUUACAAAAAAAUUAUUAGGUGUGUUCAUACAGGUUAUAUGAUUAUAUCCUCCCCAUAUCCCAGUAGGAGAAAACAGGUGGGUCAUUACAGAGGCAGAAACUCACAUUCAAGGUGAGGACCUCUGCUAACCCCUAGAGUACCUUUAUGUGUGCUGGAAAAAUGUGCCCCUCUGGGUGAUUGUGGCUUGGUAUGCAGAGCACUACCAGAUUCACCCCAUCAUUCCAGGGGCCCUUAUUCAGUGCACAAGCUGAACAACUGUACACAGCAGCCCUGUUCCAUGUCUUGCCAAAUCCCACCUUUAUAUCUUCUACUCCAAAGCCAGGGCUCGUUUGACCUCACAGCUCACAGGUCCACAUUCUGGGUCUGGGACACCAAUUCAGGCCCCAGGACAGAUGGUAUUUUGUCUGAGGCUAAGUGGGGGGUAGAAGGAAGAGCAGCGUUAACAGUGCAGCCCGUGUUCAUGUCACAAACAAGCAAGAUCGCUGCUUGGCCUGGCCGUGCCUGCCAGGUUCCGGUGAGGAAUAGUCCCAGGGAGGCCCUCUCAGAGGACCUGCUGUCCCCCAAGGCCCCGUCCUUGGCCGCCACCCCAAGCUGGAAAAGCAGGCGUGAGGCCUCCUCCUUGGUGCCUUUAUCCUGCACGUUUUUUCCCCCGCUUGCUUUCCGCCCGGGGAUUACCACCGGGGUUGGGCUUCUGCACACUGCUGUCACCUGGGUCCCCACACGGGAUGCUUGAAAAACAUCUCUCUGAAAGCAGAGAAAGUGUGAGCCUUCGAGAAGGAGGGUGUGGAAGGAGAGCGGUCCUUGGAGGAGGGGAAAUUUACAGCAUUCAUUUGGCCAGUUCUUCGGACGCCGUGCAGCCUGCGUGGAAGGCCUUCCGGAGAUCUUCCCAUACCCCCAGAGUAGAAGCUCCGGAGGACGACUUGUGUCCCCUGGGAUCUAGAACACCGCCUGGGACACAGCAGGUGCACAGCAAACAUCCACCGGGUCAUGGCCACGCUGCUGCGUCCUCUGAAUCUCUGCAGCCGCCCUUCACAUUCACAGCCAGUGUGAUCCGUCCCAUUUUGGAGAUGGGGAAAUCGAGGCUCCAAGAAAUGAGGAGAAUUGGUGAACUUCUACACCCGAGCACAGGGGAGCUCCUGGCCGCGGGCUUAGCCAGCUGUGCUCGGGGCUGCUCGUUAUCACCCUCCUCGGUGUACGGAUGAGGAAACUGAGCUCCGGAGAGGUCGAGCCACCUGCCCAAAGUCACACAGCUGGACAGUGGUGACGCCAGCACAGGAUCCCAGUUACCCCGGCCCCAGGGCUCACCCACCAGCUGCUCUUCUGUGCCUGGGGCGGGGGGCGGACGCGGGCUUUAGAGCUGGAUUCCCAGCCCAGGUGCACUACGUCUACACUGUGUGGUCUCGGGCCAGCUGCUUGAUUUCUCUGAGCCUCGGCUUCCCCAGCUGCAAUACCCACCUUGCAAGGUUGCCGCAGCACCCGAUGAAGCAAGGGGCAGAGGGAAUGUGGCCGGUGCCCGGGGUGGACGGGCUGUGGUGGAUAAAUGAUGGUGGCAGAUGCGGUUCGCGUGCCCGGCUUGCAGCGAGCGUCCUAGAACUGCUAUUUCCCACUCCAGCCUCCCUUCUAGCAGCACGGGCUCAGUGACAUCCCCCCUCGCUCUCGAGCCCUUUCUCUGCACCCUGGGUGGUGCCCGAGCUCCUGGGGAAAAUGCACCUUCCCCCCUGGUGGGAUGGAUUGGGGGACACACAGUAGAAGUUUUUGUUGUCACUUUUACCUCCUUGGGAAUGAAGGCUUCGAACUGGGGGCCUGGGUGCUGUUCCUCCCCAGGAAACGGGCAGAAAGGGGGUAGUUGUGCCAACCUCCUAGCUCUGUGCCAGUCAGAUGUCAGUCUUGGGUUCCACCUCAAGCGUUCCUUGGUUGGACACCUUCUUUGGCAGGGCCAAGUUUAGAAUCGUGGGGACUUUCCGGUCCAACCAGGGUAACGUGGAUAGAAGAUCCCUUACUCUGUGCAGCACUCGACUGUUUAUACAGGCUUUUCACCUCCUCUAUCCUGUGUGAGCAGUACAUCCCAUUUCACAGAGGAGGAGACUGAGGCCCAGAGAGGAGUAGGCUGCUGGCCUGGGACAGGGCCAAAGCCCAAGCUGGGAGCCAGGUCUGGGGCUUUCUCUGGGGCUUGGGUCUGACCGGGGUGGGGGUGCGGGGGGGCUCCCAGGGACCACUCCCCCCCAUCAUCCUCCUUCCCAUCAGAGAGGCCCAAACCCUGGGCCAGGCUGGGAAUGUUCUGGGGGGAGGCCCUCUGGAGUCAAGGCCGUGUGUAAGUGUUUUAUUGUUUGCCCGAAGAGGUGUGAAUGAAGUAAUGGGCCUUCUCCGGCACUCUAUCCGUCUAGGGCUGACAGGCGCGCUCCGAGCCCCGGGCUGCUCUGCGUAAACGCUGUCACCCUGCCAUCCCCAAGCAGGCAGCUUCCUCGGGGAAACUGUAAUCAAGGCCUCCCGCACCCGCAGCUGGCCCUGUCCGCAGCUCGUAAAUCACGGCUGCCUUCCCGGAAAGCAGGGGGAGAGACAGGCAGGGCGACAGGGAGACAGACGAGGCCCGGCGAGGAAGAGACGGGGACAGGCCGGCGGGGAGAGGAGGAGGCAGCCAGGGCAGGCCCGGCCCAGGGACAGACAGACAGACAGACACACAGACCGGGGAGAAAGCCAGAAAGAAAGAACCAAAGGGAGACAGAGAGGCCGAGGGAGGCGCCGAUGGAGGUGUGGGGUGGGGGGGCAAGAAGAUACAGGGGAGGGGCGCACAGAGAGAGGGUGGGCAGACAGACUGGAAGGAAGCGAGGAACGGGGAGAGAGGAGAGUAAAAAAGAUGAAAGAUAGUUGGGGGAGCAGUGGAGGGACAAAGCGUGAAGGCAGGGAGGGCGAGAGGGGCACACGGGGCAGGGGCCUCAGCUGGGCACCAGGGCCGGGCACUGGGCAGCUGGGCCAGACCACUGAUGGCGGGGCUGCCUCCAUCCAGCCUCACAGGGUCCCCAGCGUCCCCGGGCCACUCAGACCCUUCUCCGUCCACACUGGCCUGGUGACUUCGCAGGCAGCCAGACGGAGGGCUGAGGCAGGUGGGAGAGGAGGGGAGGGCGGAGGCUGCAGCCACCCAGCACCCCCACAUCCAGGGCCUGUGUCAGACCCACUCUCACCCUGGGAUGGCACAGCGAAUCUUAGAAGGGCAGAGAAGCGCCUCACGCAGCGGCCACCAGGCCACCAGUGCACUCCACACCCCCAAGCACCCGGGGCACACACACGUACGAGCCACGUGCUCGCCCAGGCUGGUGUGUGAGUGCCCAUGCCCACCUGCAAGGGGAUUCACACAGUGGAAGAGGGAGGCGUUGGCACUCACAGCCCAGCUGGCCAGGCUACUUUAGCCCUGGCGUCACAAGAAAGGCCUUCUAGAACCAGCAGAGAAUGUUUCAGGCAGCAUUCAGCCCAGCAAGGGAUUCUUUUUCUAGCUCAAGUCAUGAAAGUUGAUUUUAAAAAGGAGAAAAAAUAGAAAAAAAAAAAAAAA
This is a long non-coding RNA of Canis lupus familiaris (dog), 9196 nucleotides long. RefSeq lists it as uncharacterized. The record is from RefSeq and is a predicted model, not a curated record. The transcript has 3 exons. NCBI's taxonomy places the organism in Eukaryota, Metazoa, Chordata, Mammalia, Carnivora, Canidae.